This is a long non-coding RNA of Drosophila ananassae, 1371 nucleotides long. RefSeq lists it as uncharacterized. The transcript has 2 exons. The record is from RefSeq and is a predicted model, not a curated record. NCBI's taxonomy places the organism in Eukaryota, Metazoa, Arthropoda, Insecta, Diptera, Drosophilidae.
AUUUUUGGGCUUCCGCCGAAUAUCCGCGAACAACACUUUUUAUUUUAUUUCUUUUUUUUUUCUUCUUCCUCCGCUUCUGUGCUGCGUCCCAACCCUUGUUUUGUUAUCCCUUUUUUUUUUUUUUUAAUGUUAGAGUGUUUGUGUGUGUGAAAUUUGGCUUGCUUUUACGUGUGUGUGUGUGUGAGUUCAACCCCCAAAAAUUAAACAUCUCCAACCCCCCGCCCACCAAAAAACCGCCCGGGCAAAUAUCCACCCACUCACCCCCUGGCAACUACGACACUUCCCCCAAUGAGAACGUUCUUCUUUUUCACCUUGGAUGAUGCUGCUGCUUCUUCUUCUUCUUGCGUCGUCCGACGCUGGAGCAGCAGAAGGAGUCGCACAAAAGGAGAGCACAAGCGCUAGCUAGCUAGCGAGAGCGAGAGAGCUAGCAAGCAAUUCAAAAACUGUCGAAAUAAAACGGCUUCUUCACGUCUUCUCCACCCCAUUCCCCCUCCCCUCCACCAACCCCAACCCCAACGCAACCCCCCUGGGGAGGCCCAUCAACUGCUGCCUCCUGCUUUGACGUUCUCCGUCUCGUUUGCUCUCUUGCCUGGUUUUCUUUUGUGCCUAUUUCCGCUGCCGCUUGUUAGGUCAGCUCGACGCCCCCCUCCAUAUUCCUACAGGCUCGUGCAGGUUCUGGCAGGCAGUCCUUUCAACAAAAAAUUAAAAAUAAUUAUGACUUUUUGAAAUUUAAUUGAAAUUAAAGAAGAAACUGUGCAUGGGAUUAGUUUUUUUUUUUUUUUUAUAUAUGUAAUUUCAAAUCAUAAACAGUUUUGGAAACAAAAAUUUAAAAACAUUGCAAUCCCUUUGAAUUAAAUAAUACACCUGGUCACACUAAUAAUUAAUUAUUAAGAAUGGAAAACAAUUAUCUAUGUCUUCUUAUUACUUAAUAUUAACUUGUUAAAAUUCCUGCUGAAUACUCUUAAAAAUAUAAACAAGUCAAUUUUGAAAAACAAAAACAAAUCAAGUUUUUAAAUAUUGCGCCAAAGUCAUGCAUUUACCAACACUGUUUUGGCCGCAUGCAACCCUGAAAAAUCACACGCACACACACACAUACAAGCACAGACGCUUGGGGAGCAUUUUGUUAUUUUUUUUUUGUUAUUAUUCAACUGAGGAAAGAACAGCCCAAAAAAGCUUACCAACAAUUUAGAACCAAUUGCACAAAAUAGACGAAUUAAGGUAUGUAAAUGGAGGAAAUGAAAAGCGAAGGAAACGGAGAAGGAUGAUGAACGGCGAAGAAGAAGCAGCAGUAGCAGCAGCAGCAGAAGCAGCAGCAUAAGAACAAUCAAUAAUAAUAAUAACAAAAAAGGAGAGAAAAAAAAAAUAAGUAAA